UCAGAUUUAAUCGACUCUCCUAUCCCAUGACUGCGGCGAUCAGGCCGGCAGAUUGGGGGUGGCCGCCCGCCCGCCGAGCUCGGAUCCACUACACAACCAUCCCCGCGAGCACUCCGCUCUAUCCGCCCCCUCCCCUGAUUGCAGCGACCGGCGACCGCAGAUUGGAGGAGGCCGCUCGACCGGCCGAGCUCGGAUCCACUGCAUCAACCAGCUAUAGCGGAUUGGAGGAGGCCGCCCCACCCGGCUCUCUUUCCCCACCGAUCAGACCGAGCGGCGACGGCUGACGUGCAGCUGCUACCUCAAGAAUAACAAGAUCUAGAGACAAUUGAGUCAGUUGAAGCUACAAACCAUCAAGAACAGUCUGCACCAAAUCCAACAAACACAUCACCUCACCUAACUUCUAAGAAUAGCAACUCGCCUGACGCUGAUUCAGGGGUACAACGUUCUCAAGACAUGAUAGGCACAUCCAGACAAUCAGAUAACAUGAUUACAUUACAAGGCCAAGCUUGUAAUGUACAUGCAUUAGCAUGCUCCACUGGUCCAACUGAUCCACGACCAUCAAGGAGAGGUCAUCGACGUAGACCAACCAUGGGGCAUGGGCUUUAGGAGUAUGCAAACAGAAAUAGAGGGAGGAAGAUGCACAUUGAUUUUACAGCAGGGAAAGUGAGACCUACUGACCCAGUCCAAGUAGCAAAGCUUUCUUCUGAGUGUCGUAUUCACAUCAGGAGCAAAAUGGACGUUGCUACGCACUGGAAUGACUUGAGAGAAGCCACUAGUGAAACCUAUGGCCCCCGGGUCGAUUUUCUAUCGUAUUAAUCUUCCAACACUUAGCUAUUUCCAUUGCCUUUUAUUUUACUUGCAUCGUUAUUCCUCUUUCUCAUAAAAAUACCAAAAAUAUUAUCUUAUCAUAUCUAUCAGAUCUCACUCUCGUAAGUGACCGUGAAGGGAUUGACAACCCCUUUAUCGCGUUGGUUGCGAGGUUCUUAUUUGUUUGUGUAGGUGCGAGGGACUUGAGCGUAGCCUCCUACUGUUGGUUCUCAAAAACUGAGGGAAAUACUUACACUACUUUGCUGCAUCACCCUUUCCUCUUCAAGGGAAAAC
Non-coding RNA from Aegilops tauschii subsp. strangulata, 1101 nucleotides. The record is from RefSeq and is a predicted model, not a curated record. NCBI's taxonomy places the organism in Eukaryota, Viridiplantae, Streptophyta, Magnoliopsida, Poales, Poaceae.